This 372-nucleotide ribosomal RNA is filed under the name uncultured bacterium. RNAcentral's name for it is "bacterial SSU rRNA". It matches the Rfam family "Bacterial small subunit ribosomal RNA", at positions 28 to 416 of the family's 1533-position model. The record is from RNAcentral.
GAUGAACGCUAGCGGCAGGCCUAAUACAUGCAAGUCAAGGGGUAGCAAUACACCGGCGGACGGGUGCGUAACGCGUACACAACAUACCUUUAAGCGGGGGAUAGCAUCGGGAAACUGGUGGUAAUACCCCAUAGUAUUGCGAUCCGGCAUUGGGUUGCAAUUAAAGUUCCGGCGCUUAGAGAUUGGUGUGCGUCUGAUUAGCUAGUUGGCGGGGUAACGGCCCACCAAGGCGACGAUCAGUAGGGGGUGUGAGAGCAUGACCCCCCACAUGGGUACUGAGACACGGACCCAACUCCUACGGGAGGCAGCAGUGGGGAAUUUGGACAAUGGGGGCAACCCUGAUCCAGCCAUGCCGCGUGAGUGAAGAAGGCC